GCUAAAGUAGUUUAAAGUUAGAAUAUUAGUUUGUGGGAUUAAUGGUAUAGUAUUGUAUGUAUCUUUAGCA
Molecule: transfer RNA, 70 nt
Filed under: Gnathotrichus materiarius
Lineage: Eukaryota; Metazoa; Arthropoda; Insecta; Coleoptera; Curculionidae
Description: tRNA-His
Rfam family: tRNA
About the family: Transfer RNA (tRNA) molecules are approximately 80 nucleotides in length. Their secondary structure includes four short double-helical elements and three loops (D, anti-codon, and T loops). Further hydrogen bonds mediate the characteristic L-shaped molecular structure. tRNAs have two regions of fundamental functional importance: the anti-codon, which is responsible for specific mRNA codon recognition, and the 3' end, to which the tRNAs corresponding amino acid is attached (by aminoacyl-tRNA synthetases). tRNAs cope with the degeneracy of the genetic code in two manners: having more than one tRNA (with a specific anti-codon) for a particular amino acid; and 'wobble' base-pairing, i.e. permitting non-standard base-pairing at the 3rd anti-codon position.
Source: RNAcentral